CUGCUCGUUAUGAAUUCACUCAUGAAAUUCUUAGAGAUGAGGAGUCCUUUUUCGAUGGAAGGAAGGUCGAGAGGGAACGAAGGAUCUCUGUCAUCUGCCGAAACCUGCCCUUACCACCAGAACCAUCCUAGAACUGACAGUAUUCAAAUGUAUCACAUGCGCUGAAACUCAAAAUAGUGAACUUGGUGAAGCAGACAGAUGUUCUCCAGCGCUAUGAAUUCUUUCUAUAAAAAGUGUUUGACUGAAAAAGAAAAUUACACCUUUGAUGCUUGUAACCAUCACAUACGUAGAUGAGAGCGGGGCCUAAGCUAAUUGCCCCAUUAUUUCCUUAUAAAAUGUAUUGCCAAUUUUUCAAAGAGUAAAGAAAGUACUUGAAUUUUUAAUUGUCUCGCAAUCGAUGCUGAAACUGAAUAUGUUUUGUCAUUUCUGUGAAUUAAAUAAUUUCAGAAUGAUUCUGAUAGGUGUCAUAAGCACAAGAUUAGCCUUAAUGUUAUGUACCUAAACAUAAAUUUAAAAAAGCCAAAUUGGAUCUCUCUAAAUGAGGAUUUCACUGUGGUGGGUGUUCAGGGAGUGGGAGUAGGAGAAAUUUCCACAUUUUGACUUGCGGCUUCAAAAUGCUGAAGAGAAAAGAGGUAAAAUGAAGAAGUGGAAGACAAGUGAACAAUCUUGAUUAUUAAAAAAAAGGAAGUGUUGAGGAAUGUGAAAAUAGGUAGUACUUACCUUUGAAUAAUUUGGGAUGGGGUGAAAUAUGAAAUAUGAAUCCGUGAUCUCCUAUUGCUCAGGAGUAGAAUCCAAUUCUAUUUACAACACACAACACCUGAUUCUGUAUGGCCCUAUCUCUUCUCUGUGGUUUUUAAAAAUUAUUCCUCUCCCCAUUUCCUAAAAAAAUAAACCUCUUGAAACCCUAA
This is a non-coding RNA of Thamnophis sirtalis, 908 nucleotides long. The record is from RefSeq and is a predicted model, not a curated record. NCBI's taxonomy places the organism in Eukaryota, Metazoa, Chordata, Lepidosauria, Squamata, Natricidae.